Molecule: ribosomal RNA, 412 nt
Filed under: uncultured prokaryote
Description: bacterial SSU rRNA
Rfam family: Bacterial small subunit ribosomal RNA
Source: RNAcentral
GUGUCAGCCGCCGCGGUAAUACGGAGGGGGUUAGCGUUGUUCGGAAUUACUGGGCGUAAAGCGCGCGUAGGCGGAUUGGAAAGUUGGGGUGAAAUCCCGGGGCUCAACCCCGGAACUGCCUCCAAAACUUCCAGUCUGGAGUUCGAGAGAGGUGAGUGGAAUUCCGAGUGUAGAGGUGAAAUUCGUAGAUAUUCGGAGGAACACCAGUGGCGAAGGCGGCUCACUGGCUCGAUACUGACGCUGAGGUGCGAAAGUGUGGGGAGCAAACAGGAUUAGAUACCCUGGUAGUCCACGCCGUAAACGAUGAAUGCUAGACGUCGGGCAGCAUGCUGUUCGGUGUCGCAGCUAACGCAUUAAGCAUUCCGCCUGGGGAGUACGGCCGCAAGGUUAAAACUCAAAGGAAUUGGCGGGG